AACGUUCUGUGAAAUUUUUUGCA
This 23-nucleotide non-coding RNA is filed under the name Cricetulus griseus (Chinese hamster). The record is from RNAcentral. Lineage: Eukaryota; Metazoa; Chordata; Mammalia; Rodentia; Cricetidae.